Molecule: long non-coding RNA, 920 nt
Filed under: Mytilus galloprovincialis (Mediterranean mussel)
Lineage: Eukaryota; Metazoa; Mollusca; Bivalvia; Mytilida; Mytilidae
Source: RNAcentral
UAAACAAGAGGCUGUCACAACGACAGCAAACCGGAUUUAUUUACAUUUAUUUGUGUCCUGGCAAUAUCAGAUGAUUUCAUUACUGAUGAAUGGUGAAAGUGAAAAUCAUCAAUAUCAAAUUUGACCUCUAUUUUGUCAUCAGUAUCAACAUUUUGAAAUAAUAAUAUUUGAAAAGCUUAGAUUGAAUGGUUCAUGAGUAAAUGCAACAACGUGAAUGGAAACGCCAUUUUACGAUCUUUCAAGAACCAUAACUCCUGAACAGUAAAAGUCAAAAUCGUCAUUAUGGAACUUGACCUCUAUUUUGUCAUCAGUAACAACAUAUUAAAAUUUCAAAAGCUUUGGUUGAAUGGUUCAUGAGAAAAUGCAUGGACACGACGGGAAACACCAUUUUCAAUCUUUCAAGAACCAUAACUCCUGAACGGUAAAAGUCAAAAUCGUCAUUAUUGAACUUGACCUCCAUUUUGUCAUCAGUAACAGCAUAUUAAAAUUUCGGAAGCUUUGGUAGAACAGUUCAUGCAUAAAUGCACGGACACGACUGGAAACUCCAUUUUUCAAUCUUUCAAGAACCAUAACUCCUGAACGGUAAAAGUCAAAAUCGUCAUUAUUAAACUUGACCUCCAUUCUGUCAUCAGUAACAACAUAUUAAAAUUUGGGAAGCUUUGGUAGAACAGUUCAUGAGUAAAUGCACGGACACGACUGAAAACUCCAUUUUUCAAUCUUUCAAGAACCAUAACUCCUGAACGGUAAAAGUCAAAAUCGCAAUUAUUGAACUUGACCUCCGUAUAGUUGUCAGUAAUAACAUAUUAAAAUUUUAAAAGCUUUGGUUGAACGGUUCAUGAGUUAAUGCACGGACAACAUUUGAUUGCCGCCUUUCAAGAACCAUAACUCCUGAACGGUAAAAGUCAAAAUCGCCAUUAUUG